CACGCUGUAAACGAUGUCAACUUGGAGUCUGUGCCAUUGAGCGUGGGCUCCGAAGCUAACGCGAUAAGUUGACCGCCUGGGGAGUACGGCCGCAAGGUUAAAACUCAAAUGAAUUGACGGGGGCCCGCACAAGCGGUGGAGCAUGUGGUUUAAUUCGAUGCAACGCGAAGAACCUUACCUGGCCUUGACAUGUCUGGAAUCCUGUAGAGAUACGGGAGUGCCUUCGGGAAUCAGAACACAGGUGC
This 245-nucleotide ribosomal RNA is filed under the name uncultured bacterium. RNAcentral describes it as "partial 16S ribosomal RNA". It matches the Rfam family "Bacterial small subunit ribosomal RNA", at positions 796 to 1041 of the family's 1533-position model. The record is from RNAcentral.